UAAAGCUAAAGGAUAGGAAUACGAGGA
This 27-nucleotide small RNA is filed under the name Bombyx mori (domestic silkworm). RNAcentral's name for it is "ovarian small RNA-18330". Lineage: Eukaryota; Metazoa; Arthropoda; Insecta; Lepidoptera; Bombycidae. The record is from RNAcentral.